GAUGAAGAACGCAGCGAAAUGCGAUGAGUAAUGUGAAUUGCAGAAUUCAGUGAAUCAUCGAAUCUUUGAACGCACCUUGCGCUCCUUGGUAUUCCGAGGAGCAUGCCUGUUUGAGUGUCAUUAAUAUAUCAACCUUCUCUUUUUUGAGUUGUUUGGAUGUGGGGGUUUGCUGGCCUCUUAAAUGAUUCAGCUCCCCUGAAAUGCAUUAGCAGAACAACCUGUUCAUUGGCGUGAUAAUUAUCUAUGCUAUUGAAUGUGAGGGCAGUUCAGCUUUCUAACCGUCCUUGGACAAUUCAUCAUUAAUGUGACCUCAAAUCAGGUAGGACUACCCGCUGAACUUAAGCAUAUCAAUAAGCGGAGGA
This 362-nucleotide unclassified non-coding RNA is filed under the name soil metagenome. RNAcentral's name for it is "partial contains 5.8S ribosomal RNA, internal transcribed spacer 2, and large subunit ribosomal RNA". The stretch from base 1 to 120 matches the Rfam family "5.8S ribosomal RNA", at positions 35 to 154 of the family's 154-position model. The record is from RNAcentral.